GGCCCGAGAUGAUGAAGAGCAAAUAUCCCCCCUGGGGCCUCAGAGGGGUCCAGCUUGCUGGACGGAGGGCAGAGAGGAGAGCAGCCUGCCAUGACUCCCGAGGCUUCCAACUCAAGACUUGGGUUGGGGGUGCUGAGCCCCUUUCUCCCUUUUACAUUUCCCUACCCACAGACCUGAGCGGCCAUGGGAGGUUGGGGUUGGCAUUUGCCUGGGGGAGUUUCUGAGCGAGCAGCACCUGCUGCCUUGGUGGAACCCAUUGCUGGGAGUGGCCAGGGCUCAGCACCAGUGCUCAGCAGAUGCUCAGUGCGUUUUGCUGAGUUUGCUGAGGGAAGACUGUUUUCUUUUCUCUCUCACACACACAGAGUGGAUGAGGAUGAGGAUGACCUGGAGGAAGAACACGUAACUAAGAUUUAUUACUGUAGUCGGACACACUCCCAGCUGGCCCAGUUUGUGCAUGAGGUGAAGAAGAGCCCCUUUGGCAAGGAUGUUCGGCUGGUCUCCCUCGGCUCCCGGCAGAACCUUUGUGUAAAUGAAGACGUGAAAAGCCUAGGUUCUGUGCAGCUUAUCAACGACCGCUGUGUGGACAUGCAGAGGAGCAGGCACGGUAGCCACCGGGACCAUGGUGUAGCCAUAGGCAGUCUGGAGAGAGUGAGGGGGGGUGGCAGUGACUGAAGACCAUUAAGUGUCUUGCAUAGAAAGAAUGGCAGAGGAGACCCCAGUUCCUUCCUGAGUCCCCUCUUCCUUGGGAAAAAGUGUUCCUACUCUCUGGGUCAGUGUCUGGUCCGAAUCCUUGGC
RNAcentral lists this small RNA (795 nucleotides) under Pongo abelii (Sumatran orangutan). RNAcentral's name for it is "retained intron". Lineage: Eukaryota; Metazoa; Chordata; Mammalia; Primates; Hominidae. The record is from RNAcentral.